This 253-nucleotide ribosomal RNA is filed under the name uncultured bacterium. RNAcentral's name for it is "partial 16S ribosomal RNA". It matches the Rfam family "Bacterial small subunit ribosomal RNA", at positions 524 to 776 of the family's 1533-position model. The record is from RNAcentral.
UACGUAGGGGGCUAGCGUUGUCCGGAAUCAUUGGGCGUAAAGAGCGUGUAGGCGGCUCGGUAAGUCCGCUGUGAAAGUCCAGGGCUCAACCCUGGAAUGCCGGUGGAAACUGCCGGGCUAGAGUCCGGAAGAGGCGAGUGGAAUUCCCGGUGUAGCGGUGAAAUGCGCAGAUAUCAGGAGGAACACCGGUGGCGAAGGCGGGUCUCUGGGCCGAUACUGACGCUGAGGAGCGAAAGCGUGGGGAGCGAACAGG